AAUGAACGCUGGCGGCGUGGUUAAGACAUGCAAGUCGAACGGUUUUUCAAGUGUAGCAAUACUCUUGAAAAGCAGUGGCGAACGGGUGCGUAACACGUGAACAAUCUACCUUUUAGUGUGGAAUAGCUCGCCGAAAGGCGAAUUAAUACCGCAUGUGAUUGCCUCUCUCAUGAGAGACAUAUUAAAGUCGGGGACCGCAA
RNAcentral lists this ribosomal RNA (200 nucleotides) under uncultured bacterium. RNAcentral describes it as "partial 16S ribosomal RNA". It matches the Rfam family "Bacterial small subunit ribosomal RNA", at positions 29 to 220 of the family's 1533-position model. The record is from RNAcentral.